RNAcentral lists this ribosomal RNA (1471 nucleotides) under Bacillus glycinifermentans. RNAcentral describes it as "bacterial SSU rRNA". It matches the Rfam family "Bacterial small subunit ribosomal RNA". The record is from RNAcentral. Lineage: Bacteria; Bacillati; Bacillota; Bacilli; Caryophanales; Bacillaceae.
GACGAACGCUGGCGGCGUGCCUAAUACAUGCAAGUCGAGCGGACAGAUGGGAGCUUGCUCCCUGAUGUUAGCGGCGGACGGGUGAGUAACACGUGGGUAACCUGCCUGUAAGACUGGGAUAACUCCGGGAAACCGGGGCUAAUACCGGAUGCUUGUUUGAACCGCAUGGUUCAAAUAUAAAAGGUGGCUUUUAGCUACCACUUACAGAUGGACCCGCGGCGCAUUAGCUAGUUGGUGAGGUAACGGCUCACCAAGGCAACGAUGCGUAGCCGACCUGAGAGGGUGAUCGGCCACACUGGGACUGAGACACGGCCCAGACUCCUACGGGAGGCAGCAGUAGGGAAUCUUCCGCAAUGGACGAAAGUCUGACGGAGCAACGCCGCGUGAGUGAUGAAGGUUUUCGGAUCGUAAAACUCUGUUGUUAGGGAAGAACAAGUACCGUUCGAAUAGGGCGGUACCUUGACGGUACCUAACCAGAAAGCCACGGCUAACUACGUGCCAGCAGCCGCGGUAAUACGUAGGUGGCAAGCGUUGUCCGGAAUUAUUGGGCGUAAAGCGCGCGCAGGCGGUUUCUUAAGUCUGAUGUGAAAGCCCCCGGCUCAACCGGGGAGGGUCAUUGGAAACUGGGGAACUUGAGUGCAGAAGAGGAGAGUGGAAUUCCACGUGUAGCGGUGAAAUGCGUAGAGAUGUGGAGGAACACCAGUGGCGAAAGCGACUCUCUGGUCUGUAACUGACGCUGAGGCGCGAAAGCGUGGGGAGCGAACAGGGUUAGAUACCCUGGUAGUGCACGCCGUAAACGAUGAGUGCUAAGUGUUAGAGGGUUUCCGCCCUUUAGUGCUGCAGCAAACGCAUUAAGCACUCCGCCUGGGGAGUACGGUCGCAAGACUGAAACUCAAAGGAAUUGACGGGGGCCCGCACAAGCGGUGGAGCAUGUGGUUAAUUCGAAGCAACGCGAAGAACCUUACCAGGUCUUGACAUCCUCUGACAACCCUAGAGAUAGGGCUUCCCCUUCGGGGGCAGAGUGACAGGUGGUGCAUGGUUGUCGUCAGCUCGUGUCGUGAGAUGUUGGGUUAAGUCCCGCAACGAGCGCAACCCUUGAUCUUAGUUGCCAGCAUUCAGUUGGGCACUCUAAGGUGACUGCCGGUGACAAACCGGAGGAAGGUGGGGAUGACGUCAAAUCAUCAUGCCCCUUAUGACCUGGGCUACACACGUGCUACAAUGGGCAGAACAAAGGGCAGCGAAGCCGCAAGGCUAAGCCAAUCCCACAAAUCUGUUCUCAGUUCGGAUCGCAGUCUGCAACUCGACUGCGUGAAGCUGGAAUCGCUAGUAAUCGCGGAUCAGCAUGCCGCGGUGAAUACGUUCCCGGGCCUUGUACACACCGCCCGUCACACCACGAGAGUUUGUAACACCCGAAGUCGGUGAGGUAACCUUUUGGAGCCAGCCGCCGAAGGUGGGACAGAUGAUUGGGGUG